GUGGAUUACUUGUGGAUUAUUGUGAUGUUUUUAUCAGCUGUUUGGACUCUCAUUCUGACGGCACCCAUUCACUGCAGAGCAUCCAUUGCUGAGACACUGAUGCAGUGCUACAUUUCUCCAAACCUGAUGAAGAAACACACUCAUCCUAAUCUGGGAUGGCCUGAGGAUGAGCACGUUUACAGCACAUUUUAAUGUUUGGCUGAACUACUGGUUUAAGACAGUGAGUGUAAAGCAGAGGCUGAAUGCUGAGCUGACAGAACCGCAUUUCUGCACCACACAUGCAUCCAUGUGCAUUCACACACACACACACACACACUCACUCUCGCACAUGCACAAACACACGUGCACUCACGCUCACACACUCACGCUCACACACGCACGCUCACACACGCACGCUCACACACACACUCACACUCUCACACACACUCGCACUCUCACACACACUCGCACUCUCACACACACUCGCACUCUCACACACACUCGCACUCUCACACACACUCGCACUCUCACACACACUCGCACUCUCACACACACUCGCACUCUCACACACACUCGCACUCUCACACACACUCGCACUCUCACACACACUCGCACUCUCACACACACUCGCACUCUCACACACACUCGCACUCUCACACACACUCGCACUCUCACACACACUCGCACUCUCACACACACUCGCACUCUCACACACACUCGCACUCUCACACACACUCGCACUCUCACACACACUCGCACUCUCACACACACUCGCACUCUCACACACACUCGCACUCUCACACACACUCGCACUCUCACACACACUCGCACUCUCACACACACUCGCACUCUCACACACACUCGCACUCUCACACACACUCGCACUCUCACACACACUCGCACUCUCACACACACUCGCACUCUCACACACACUCGCACUCUCACACACACUCGCACUCUCACACACACUCGCACACACACACACACUCACUCACACUCUCACACACACUCACACUCUCACACACACUCGCACUCUCACACACACUCGCACACACACACACACACGCACAACCACACACAGACGCUCGCACACACUCACACACACUCACACACACACACACUCACACUCGCACUCACACGCACAACCACACGCACACGCAACACUAUUGUUUUUGCCCCCAUUUUUCAUGAGCUGAACUCAAAGAUCUAAGACUUU
This 1195-nucleotide long non-coding RNA is filed under the name Sinocyclocheilus grahami. Its description in RNAcentral is "lncRNA (ENSSGRG00000015159.1)". The record is from RNAcentral. Lineage: Eukaryota; Metazoa; Chordata; Actinopteri; Cypriniformes; Cyprinidae.